UACGGAAGGCAGCAGUGGGGAAUAUUGCACAAUGGGCGAAAGCCUGAUGCAGCUAUGCCGCGUGUAUGAAGAAGGCCUUAGGGUUGUAAAGUACUUUCAUCGGGGAGGAAAAACAAAACUAAUAAUUUUAUUUCUUGACGUUACCCGAAAAAGAAGCACCGGCUAACUCCGUGCCAGCAGCCGCGGUAAUACGGAGGGUGCUAGCGUUAAUCAGAAUUACUGGGCGUAAAGAGCACGUAGGUGGUUUUUUUAAGUCAGAUGUGAAAUCCCUGGGCUUAACCUAGGAACUGCAUUUUGAAACUGAAAUACUAGAGUAUCGUAGAGGGAGGUAGAAUUCUAGGUGUAGCGGUGAAAUGCGUAGAUAUCUGGAGGAACACCUGUGGCGAAAGCGGCCUCCUAAACGAAUACUGACACUGAGGUGCGAAAGCGUGGGGAGCAAACAGGGAUUAGAUACC
This 455-nucleotide ribosomal RNA is filed under the name uncultured bacterium. RNAcentral's name for it is "bacterial SSU rRNA". It matches the Rfam family "Bacterial small subunit ribosomal RNA", at positions 340 to 786 of the family's 1533-position model. The record is from RNAcentral.